GGCUAGAGGUCAGGGGCUAGAGGUCAGGGGCUAGAGGUCAAGGACUAGAGGUCAGGGGCUAGAGGUCAGGGGCUAGAGAUCAGGGACCAGAGGUCGGGGACUAGAGGUCAGGGACUAGAGGUCAGGGGCUAGAGGUCAGGGACUAGAGAUCAAGGGGCUAGAGGUCAGGGGCUAGAGUUCGGAGGCUAGAGGUCAGGGACCAAAGGUCAGGGGCUAGAGGUCAAGGACCAGAGGUCAGGGGCUAGAGGUCAGGGGCUAGAGGUCAGGGGCUAGAGGUCAAGGACUAGAGGUCAGGGGCUAGAGGUCAGGGACUAGAGGUCAGGGACUAGAGGUCAGGGACUAGAGGUCAGGGGUUGAAGGUGCUGAAUUCCUCUCCCUGUACUCCAGACAGAUACCAUCAUUCUAAACAACUAUAAAUCACUAGUCAUCAAUUAUUUACCAGGAAUCAAUACAGCUAUCAGUUCCCCCUCCUUUAUGUCUGUCAACAACUGUGUGACUAUCAUUUACAACAACACCCACACAUUAAUAUAUAUCUAUAUGAUUACAACAACACCCACACAUAA
Molecule: long non-coding RNA, 563 nt
Filed under: Salmo salar (Atlantic salmon)
Lineage: Eukaryota; Metazoa; Chordata; Actinopteri; Salmoniformes; Salmonidae
Description: lncRNA (ENSSSAG00000100873.1, ENSSSAG00000115042.1)
Source: RNAcentral